AAUUUUAAUAGAUUUUGAGGGUAAAAGUAAACCAAAUUUAAAUGUUUUAUGAAGUAUUCAUAUUCUGCAGGCUUUUAUACAGACUGGCAAAAUGACAAAGUUUUAUUAACAUCAGUGUAAUGCAGUUGUUCCUCAAUCCACAAAAAUUGAUACCCAAGAAUAUUAAUGAUCCAUUUGAUAUGAAAAAUGUGAAGACUUACUACAACAAAAUAUAAAUCAAUUCAUUUGUAAUUUUUAACAUGUGUGUUACAUGGUAAGUACUGACUGUCAUUCAUUGGUUGAGUUCUUAUUUAAUGAUAUUUAUGGAAAGCAUUUUAGUAAUGUAAGAUUUAAACUUUUUCCCCACAUUUUCUUUUAUUUGUGUAUUGAUCUGCCUUGACUUUUAUUCAGGGAAUUUCAAAAUUGAUAUUAACAUAUAAAAGUCCAAGUUAAAAUUCCCUCUCUUCCUUAACUUUUAUUCAGGGAAUUUUAACUUUGUCUUCUUUCUGUUAAUAUCAUUUUUUAAGCAUUCCACUUUAAAAUUACAUGUAUUUCUGCAAUAUGAAUUAUUUUUGAAUGUAUAUGUAUGUUUAUAUAAUGAUGCAAUAGCCUUUCAACUGUGAUAAUUAUUGUCUAGUUUUGUCAUGUGACAUUUAUCAGAGUAUGUAUUUAAUGAAAUGGUGGAUGCAUUAUUACAGAUAUUCUUUGGAUACUAAUUUUUGUAGAUUUCGUGGUUACAGGUGAAACAAGAAAUUUUAUGUUCAACAAAUGACAAAUUUUUAAUCGGCUUGUUUGCAGACCUCACCAAAACAACAAAAUGAAAUAUCCACGAAUAUACAAGUUUUCUUUUAUCCACGAAAAUUGGUAUCGACGAAAAAAAUGAAUCCUCAGUAUGUGUCAGAUAUUGUAACUGUUUAAACUAAUACUGUAAUAGUAGGAAAAAAAAUAGUCGAAAAAGCAUUUAAGUGCUGCAAAUUAUGAAAUUAAUUUGAUGCUAUAAUUGCAAAGCAAUGUAAUGGCAUGC
RNAcentral lists this long non-coding RNA (1003 nucleotides) under Mytilus galloprovincialis (Mediterranean mussel). Lineage: Eukaryota; Metazoa; Mollusca; Bivalvia; Mytilida; Mytilidae. The record is from RNAcentral.